CUUAAAUUAAAAAACAGAAAUAACCACCAUCUCUCUCAGAGGUCAUCUUUCUCAUUAUUGUGGGGAAACCUCAAAGGGCAUCAGGAAAACCUUCAUCAACCUCUUUGUGCCCAGUGGCUUGUGCAACAGUGUUUCAGAAAUUAUCAUUAAAAUGGGGAUAAUGGAUGACUGGCCACACAUAUGGGGCUAUGGACAAGCUUCAGAGCAGGCUGCCAGGUGGUGGUGUUAGUAGUUUAUACUCCGGGUCCUGGCGUGAGCACAUUGAAGGGUCCCAGAGUGACAGUUCAACCACCGCACACCUAUCCUGGGCAGAACCAGUACUAGGUGCCUUCACCUCUGCAAGGAACUGACAGCUUCUGUACAUGCCAGGUGCAGUGGUACAGUGCGAAUGGUCGUAGAAAGGAUUUCAUAACCAAUCACAACAGAGGUGACCUGGUCCGCCCGGGAAUCGAACCCGGGAUGUCCAAUUCAGAGUCCAACGCUCUACCGAUUGAGCUGACCGGGCGGACAUAUUAGCUACAUUAGAUGACAAGCCAUCUAUGCUGGACAUUCUUCACAAUAAAAUGUGAUGUCACAGGAGCUGUCUAUCUCAACAGCUCACACUGUCCGUAUUUGACUAAAGGAAUGAAUGAAGUCACUGCAGAAGUUAGAUUGAGGAAUGUCCAUGUCACUACCCAUCAUUUGGAAGGAGUUGGAUAAAAAAAGUGUGGCCUAUGUAUUGAAACAGGUCCGAUUUCCAGUUACGGACAGUCUUGAUUUGUCUGAUUACAUUUUUGACCAACAUGAUGGUCUAAAAGAACACUUACUGGUAACUGGUAAAAUCAUGGCCCAGUUGUUCCAAGAGGCAGGCGAGUGGGAAGUUACUAGACUCCAUUUCUUUAUGGGUUGAUCUGAGGUUCCAGUUCAGUUAAAGUACUGAUAGAACACCAAGUGUUUGCCAUAAUACAGCAACAUUUGAUUUGUAACUAUGUAUUUGUUUGAAUUGUUGAAACAGUACUGUUUACUAAAUAAUGUGUAUGUAUAUGAAGAAUAAUAUUAUAAAUAAUUUGUAAGAACCUGAUAUUAAGUAAAAUGUCGAUAAGUCUAAAUAUGUAUCUGCGAAUCAUUUUUGUAUAUCUGUAAAGAUUACAUUGCCUAUAUUCCUCAAUUUAUAUUUUUCUUUUAGCCAGUCAAUAACUUUUCUUAAGUUCUAUCUUCAAAAUUGUCGGGACAGGGAUUAUAGCCCUUAAUUAACCCAAAUAUGUAACAUUCAAUGCAAAAUUUCUAAUUGGCUGCAUUUAGGCAGUUCAGAUGCAGGAACAAACAUCACUUGGGUCCUUAAUAAUAGCUUUCCAUCUGACAUUGAAGAUCCAAUAAAAGGAAUUUGUCAUGUGACUGUUUAUUAACUCUCAAUUUAUUGAAAGUGAAAUUACUUACAUGAUUUGUAAGAACUAAAUUAUAAUGAUAUCAAAUGAUUGUUUAAAUUAAAUAAAAUAGAUGAUUACAUACAUGAACUAUUUUUAUUUCUUGUUUGUCAAUAUGAAGAGUAAUGCAAUGGCUUUUGAAUUUCAUAAAAAAGGAUGGAAAAAUGUAUGUUUA
Mya arenaria is the source of this 1578-nucleotide long non-coding RNA. RefSeq lists it as uncharacterized. The transcript has 3 exons. Lineage: Eukaryota; Metazoa; Mollusca; Bivalvia; Myida; Myidae. The record is from RefSeq and is a predicted model, not a curated record.